RNAcentral lists this ribosomal RNA (405 nucleotides) under uncultured bacterium. RNAcentral describes it as "bacterial SSU rRNA". It matches the Rfam family "Bacterial small subunit ribosomal RNA", at positions 29 to 424 of the family's 1533-position model. The record is from RNAcentral.
AACGAACGCUGGCGGCGCGCCUAAUACAUGCAAGUCGAACGAGAAGGUGUAGCAAUACACUUGUACAGUGGCGAACGGGUGAGGAAUGCAUGGGUAACCUACCCUCGAGUGGGGAAUAACCAGCCGAAAGGUUGGCUAAUACCGCGUACGCUUCCGGGUCUCCGGAUCCGGAAGGAAAGUCACACCGUGGGUGUGACGCUCAAGGAUGGGCUCAUGUCCUAUCAGCUUGUUGGGAGGUAACGGCUCACCCAGGCAACGACGGGUAGCUGGUCUGAGAGGACGAUCAGCCACACUGGCACUGCGACACGGGCCAGACUCCUACGGGAGGCAGCAGUAAGGAAUAUUGCGCAAUGGGCGAAAGCCUGACGCAGCGACGCCGCGUGGGGGAGUGAAGGUCUUCGGAUU